UGGGGAAUUUUGCACAAUGGGGGAAACCCUGAUGCAGCGACGCCGCGUGAUUUAGAAGGCCUUCGGGUUGUAAAAAUCUUUUCUAUGGGAAGAAAAUGACAGUAUCAUAGGAAUAAGGACCGGCUAAUUACGUGCCAGCAGCCGCGGUAAUACGUAAGGUCCGAGCGUUGUCCGGAAUCAUUGGGCGUAAAGGGUACGUAGGCGGGUAAGCAAGUUAGAAGUGAAAUCCUAUAGCUCAACUAUAGUAAGCUUUUAAAACUGCUCAUCUUGAGGUAUGGGAGGGAAGGUGGAAUUCCUAGUGUAGCGGUGAAAUGCGCAGAUAUUAGGAGGAAUACCGGUGGCGAAGGCGACUUUCUGGCCAUAACCUGACGCUGAGGUACGAAAGCGUGGGUAGCAAACAGG
This 402-nucleotide ribosomal RNA is filed under the name bacterium. Its description in RNAcentral is "partial 16S ribosomal RNA". It matches the Rfam family "Bacterial small subunit ribosomal RNA", at positions 355 to 776 of the family's 1533-position model. The record is from RNAcentral.